UGGAUUAUAGCUCAGUGGUAGAGCACUUGCCUACCAUGCAUGAGGACCUGAGUUCAAUCCCCAGCACCACAA
This 72-nucleotide transfer RNA is filed under the name Ictidomys tridecemlineatus (thirteen-lined ground squirrel). RNAcentral describes it as "Spermophilus tridecemlineatus (thirteen-lined ground squirrel) tRNA". It matches the Rfam family "tRNA". From Rfam's summary of the family: Transfer RNA (tRNA) molecules are approximately 80 nucleotides in length. Their secondary structure includes four short double-helical elements and three loops (D, anti-codon, and T loops). Lineage: Eukaryota; Metazoa; Chordata; Mammalia; Rodentia; Sciuridae. The record is from Rfam by way of RNAcentral.